GACGAACGCUGGCGGCGUGCUUAACACAUGCAAGUCGAACGGAAAGGCCCUGCUUUUGUGGGGUGCUCGAGUGGCGAACGGGUGAGGAACACGUGAGUAACCUGCCCUUGACUUUGGGAUAACUUCAGGAAACUGGGGCUAAUACCGGAUAGGAGCUCCUGCUGCAUGGUGGGGGUUGGAAAGUUUCGGCGGUUGGGGAUGGACUCGCGGCUUAUCAGCUUGUUGGUGGGGUAGUGGCUUACCAAGGCUUUGACGGGUAGCCGGCCUGAGAGGGUGACCGGCCACAUUGGGACUGAGAUACGGCCCAGACUCCUACGGGAGGCAGCAGUGGGGAAUAUUGCACAAUGGGCGGAAGCCUGAUGCAGCAACGCCGCGUGCGGGAUGACGGCCUUCGGGUUGUAAACCGCUUUCGCCUGUGACGAAGCGUGAGUGACGGUAAUGGGUAAAGAAGCACCGGCUAACUACGUG
RNAcentral lists this ribosomal RNA (468 nucleotides) under uncultured bacterium. Its description in RNAcentral is "partial 16S ribosomal RNA". It matches the Rfam family "Bacterial small subunit ribosomal RNA", at positions 28 to 507 of the family's 1533-position model. The record is from RNAcentral.